RNAcentral lists this long non-coding RNA (921 nucleotides) under Nicotiana tabacum (common tobacco). RNAcentral's name for it is "long non-coding RNA (NTAB_LNC016303)". Lineage: Eukaryota; Viridiplantae; Streptophyta; Magnoliopsida; Solanales; Solanaceae. The record is from RNAcentral.
AAAGUUUGAUACUAUACUUUAUAAAUAAAUCAACCGGAAUAAAAAUAGUAACAUGAUGACUAAUUAAUACAUCAAUUUCUAUAGCAACGGCAUGAUUAUGCUAAUUAAAACAUGUAUAUAACUAGAAAUGAUACUACUUUCCAUUUGGGCAAUCUAUCAAACAGUUGGAAGAUAUCAAUUUGGAGGCACGUCAUGACCAACUGCAGCUUCGUCAAGCUUGUUCGUCUUGGGAACGCAUAUGCAUAGAUGCCAAACACAAAGGGGUUGGUCUUCACAUAAAUCAUAGCAGUCUUCAUCAGAAUGACAGUGGUGUAGAGCAGCCACUAGCUUGAAGGAUGGAGUAUUUGCAACUGCAUAUUAAAACAUUAAAACAAGGCUUUAUUUAGAACAAAAUAUUGUUUGUUUUUACUUUGACUUUAUAUGAAGAACUUGCUGUCAAUCCCAAUUUAUUUGAGACUGAAAUGCAAUUUGUGUUGUUGUUAUUGAAGCUAAAUCAACAACACAAACAUAUUCAGUAUUCUUGGAAGGGUUGUGUGUACACACACCUUACUCCUAACUUGUGUAGAGUGUUAAAUUGCUUAAAACAAGCCAAAAACAAUAAGUUGGCAACCCAACUUAUUAUUUUUUGGCUUAAAAGUUAUUUCUACCCAAAAAACCACUUGUUUUAACCCAAUUCAAUCGAGUUCUAAGUCAUAAGUAAUAAAAUUUGACCUUCUGUAUUCUGAAAGCAUCACAUAAAGUGGAAUAAAGAAAAUAUAUUCUGUGCAUUCUGAGGUUUUUUUUUAUAUAAAGAGAGUAAUGAAAAUGAAAGAGAAACAAGCCCAUGACAAUUAGCAAAAAGGCAAUCAAGAACGAAGACUUCAUAAGAACCUUGGCCAUCUUUUAUCUCCACUACUGCACUUUUUAAAGAAUUAACAAUAU